GUUUUACAGUGAUUAAAACGCUUGGCUGCUAACCAAAAGGUUGGUGGUUCAAACCCACC
This 59-nucleotide transfer RNA is filed under the name Loxodonta africana (African savanna elephant). It matches the Rfam family "tRNA", at positions 10 to 63 of the family's 71-position model. Rfam says of the family: Transfer RNA (tRNA) molecules are approximately 80 nucleotides in length. Their secondary structure includes four short double-helical elements and three loops (D, anti-codon, and T loops). The record is from Rfam by way of RNAcentral. Lineage: Eukaryota; Metazoa; Chordata; Mammalia; Proboscidea; Elephantidae.